RNAcentral lists this ribosomal RNA (440 nucleotides) under uncultured bacterium. RNAcentral's name for it is "partial 16S ribosomal RNA". It matches the Rfam family "Bacterial small subunit ribosomal RNA", at positions 338 to 795 of the family's 1533-position model. The record is from RNAcentral.
CCUACGGGUUGCAGCAGUGGGGAAUAUUGCACAAUGGGGGAAACCCUGAUGCAGCGACGCCGCGUGAGCGAAGAAGUAUUUCGGUAUGUAAAGCUCUAUCAGCAGGGAAGAAAAUGACGGUACCUGAGUAAGAAGCUCCGGCUAAAUACGUGCCAGCAGCCGCGGUAAUACGUAUGGAGCAAGCGUUAUCCGGAUUUACUGGGCGUAAAGGGAGCGUAGGCGGCCUGCCAAGUCUGAUGUGAAAUACCGGGGCUCAACCCCGGGGCUGCAUUGGAAACUGGCAGGCUGGAGUGCCGGAGAGGCAGGCGGAAUUCCUAGUGUAGCGGUGAAAUGCUUAGAUAUCACGAAGAACUCCGAUUGCGAAGGCAGCUUACUAAACUGCCACUGACAUUGAUGCUCGAAAGUGUGGGUAUCAAACAGGAUUAGAUACCCGAGUAGUC